UCUGUGAGAGAGGAGGAGCUACUGCAGCGGUCGCUGUUCGGCGCGCGCUUUGCAAACGCCGAACUUAACCGCGGUCACGUCGUGCGGCCGCGGACCCCUGGACGCGCACUUCUCCCUUGGGAUCGGGACGCAGACCCCUUGACCAAGCGCGUCCUGACACCGCAGUGCGUCGGCGGCACCGCGGGGAGGGGAACCCGUGCAGAGCUCAGCUGCAGCUCAGUCACUGAUGGCGCGGUUCCCGGCUGAAGCCCUCGGAGAGGAAAUUUUAAAAAACCUCUUUGUCACGCUGUUUCUUCUUUCUCUGAACUUUUCCAGGAUCUCUCACUGAACCUGGAGCUCACCAAUGUGGCUAGACUGGAUGGCGGACCUGGGAUCUGUGCCCCUCCAUGCUGGGAUUACCGGCAAGCACUGACUUGCCUGGCUUUAUCACCGGUGCUGGGAUCCGAAGUCAAGACCUCAUGCUUCCCCAGUGAGCGCUUUACCCACCGAGGCUCUUCCCUCGGAGGAAUGCACUGCUGGUCACGGCUUCCGUUGCUCUGGAGAACUUCAGUUGACGCUGUAAAACGGCUGAAAGGGGAGAAGCUUGACUAAGUCUUUAGAGCAUAAGGAAAUAUAAAUCCAGUCAGGUGACCUCAGUCAACCAUGAUUUUGUUGAGAAACCCUGAGAAAGAACCAGGCGCCAUCCAGGUCCAUCCUACAGUCUCAUGGCAGCAGCUACACUACAGAGAAAUGCCCUGUUCUGUCAUGCACUGACGUCCCUCACCUAUUCCUUAUAAUAAGCUGAUCGCCUCAAGGUGUCGCCUCCAUGUAAUGGUAUUAUGUGAUGUUUUGUUUGUGUUCUGACAAAUAAAGCUUUCCUGGAGAUCAGAGGACAGAGCUAGCCACUAGGCAACCAUAGAGGGCAGGCCGUGGUGGCACACACCUUUAAUC
Molecule: non-coding RNA, 930 nt
Organism: Peromyscus maniculatus bairdii (prairie deer mouse)
Lineage: Eukaryota; Metazoa; Chordata; Mammalia; Rodentia; Cricetidae
Source: RefSeq, a predicted model, not a curated record